Molecule: ribosomal RNA, 429 nt
Filed under: Verrucomicrobiota bacterium
Lineage: Bacteria; Pseudomonadati; Verrucomicrobiota
Description: Verrucomicrobia bacterium partial 16S ribosomal RNA
Rfam family: Bacterial small subunit ribosomal RNA
Source: RNAcentral
UAGGGAAUCUUCCGCAAUGGACGAAAGUCUGACGGAGCAACGCCGCGUGAGUGAAGAAGGAUUUCGGUUCGUAAAACUCUGUUGUUAGGGAAGAAAAAAUGUAUAGUAACUAUAUACAAAAGAGACGGUACCUAACCAGAAAGCCACGGCUAACUACGUGCCAGCAGCCGCGGUAAUACGUAGGUGGCAAGCGUUGUCCGGAAUUAUUGGGCGUAAAGCGCGCGCAGGUGGUUUAGAAAGUCUGAUGUGAAAGCCCACGGCUCAACCGUGGAGGGUCAUUGGAAACUGGGAAGCUUGAGUACAGAAGAGGAAAGUGGAACUCCAUGUGUAGCGGUGGAAUGCGUAGAUAUAUGGAAGAACACCAGUGGCGAAAGCGACUUUCUGGUCUGUCACUGACGCUGAGGCCCGAAAGCGUGGGUAGCAAACAGG